AUGCUGUGGGAAGCAUUGGAGUCAGUAUGGACCAGCAUCCCUGUGGGAAGCAUUGGAGUCAGUAUGGACCAGCAUCCCUGUGGGAAGCAUUGGAGUCAGUAUGGACCAGCAUCCCUGUGGGAAGCAUUGGAGUCAGUAUGGACCAGCAUCCCUGUGGGAAGCAUUGGAGUCAGUAUGGACCAGCAUCCCUGUGGGAAGCAUUGGAGUCAGUAUGGACCAGCAUCCCUGUGGGAAGCAUUGGAGUCAGUAUGGACCAGCAUCCCUGUGGGAAGCAUUGGAGUCAGUAUGGACCAGCAUCCCUGUGGGAAGCAUUGGAGUCAGUAUGGGCCAGCAUCCCUGUGGGAAGCAUUGGAGUCAGUAUGGGCCAGCAUCCCUGUGGGAAGCAUUGGAGUCAGUAUGGGCCAGCAUCCCUGUGGGAAGCAUUGGAGUCAGUAUGGGCCAGCAUCCCUGUGGGAAGCAUUGGAGUCAGUAUGGGCCAGCAUCCCUGUGGGAAGCAUUGGAGUCAGUAUGGACCAGCAUCCCUGUGGGACGCAUUGGAGUCAGUAUGGGCCAGCAUCCCUGUGGGAAGCAUUGGAGUCAGUAUGGACCAGCAUCCCUGUGGGAAGCAUUGGAGUCAGUAUGGGCCAGCAUCCCUGUGGGAAGCAUUGGAGUCAGUAUGGACCAGCAUCCCUGUGGGAAGCAUUGGAGUCAGUAUGGGCCAGCAUCCCUGUGGGAAGCAUUGGAGUCAGUAUGGACCAGCAUCCCUGUGGGAAGCAUUGGAGUCAGUAUGGGCCAGCAUCCCUGUGGGAAGCAUUGGAGUCAGUAUGGACCAGCAUCCCUGUGGGAAGCAUUGGAGUCAGUAUGGACCAGCAUCCCUGUGGGAAGCAUUGGAGUCAGUAUGGGCCAGCAUCCCUGUGGGAAGCAUUGGAGUCAGUAUGGACCAGCAUCCCUGUGGGAAGCAUUGGAGUCAGUAUGGACCAGCAUCCCUGUGGGAAGCAUUGGAGUCAGUAUGGACCAGCAUCCCUGUGGGAAGCAUUGGAGUCAGUAUGGACCAGCAUCCCUGUGGAACGCUUUCCACACCUUGUAGAGUCCAUGCACUGA
This 1080-nucleotide long non-coding RNA is filed under the name Oncorhynchus kisutch (coho salmon). RNAcentral describes it as "lncRNA (ENSOKIG00005050236.1)". Lineage: Eukaryota; Metazoa; Chordata; Actinopteri; Salmoniformes; Salmonidae. The record is from RNAcentral.